UAGGAGAGGGUCAAGGUCCAACAGCCCACUUUCUUCCUCCCUCACGCUCUCCUCCUCCUGGCCGACCACGACCUCUCUCUCUCGUUCUUCCUCUCGUGCUCCUUCCCCCAUGGCUUCAUGCCCUUGAAUCCACCCUCUGCAGCACCAAAUCCAUAGGGCAAAACCAGCAAAAUGGAACAAGGGCGGCGUGAGGAAGAAGGAGAGGUGUGCAUUCGAUGUAGAUCAGUUUUCCCACAUCGUUUCCCCUCCCUAGGGUUUCAAGGGUGACAAAGGUUAUCUUCAUGGGAACGUAUUGGUUAUCUUCAGACGAAGAGAGAAAUAGCUUGAAGAAAGGGUGUCAAAAUUUGGAGGUCACAGUCAAUCAAGGGCUAGUUUUUUGGUGUUUAGUUUUUGUUCCUGUUUUCUUGCUUUCUUCAGUAUUGAGUCUGUGUACCUGUUUAAGCAGCUUAUACGCUGUAGGGUCGUCCUUUUUUAUCGGUUGUAAGCUUUCGAACUCCGUUUGUUGAGACUCGAUUCAUUUCCUUAAUCUAAAGAAAUUAUAUAUA
Long non-coding RNA from Panicum virgatum (switchgrass), 545 nucleotides. RefSeq lists it as uncharacterized. NCBI's taxonomy places the organism in Eukaryota, Viridiplantae, Streptophyta, Magnoliopsida, Poales, Poaceae. The transcript is spliced from 2 exons. The record is from RefSeq and is a predicted model, not a curated record.